This 126-nucleotide small nucleolar RNA is filed under the name Neotoma lepida (desert woodrat). RNAcentral's name for it is "Small nucleolar RNA SNORA40". It matches the Rfam family "Small nucleolar RNA SNORA40". Rfam says of the family: The snoRNA ACA 40 belongs to the H/ACA family of snoRNAs and guides the pseudouridylation of 28S rRNA subunit at position U4565. NB This family has a high threshold value to exclude a large number of closely related sequences that do not appear to have conserved H and ACA boxes, and may be pseudogenes. The record is from Rfam by way of RNAcentral. Lineage: Eukaryota; Metazoa; Chordata; Mammalia; Rodentia; Cricetidae.
UACAAAGGUAGGUGUAUUUGUUCAACUGUUGGACAAAGGCUUGAAAGACAGGUGCAAAAAUAAAGCAUCUUGUACAACCAAUAACUCAUUGUUUAGUAUGAGUUUUGACACAUACAAGAGGGAAUU